Molecule: long non-coding RNA, 4590 nt
Organism: Triticum aestivum (bread wheat)
Lineage: Eukaryota; Viridiplantae; Streptophyta; Magnoliopsida; Poales; Poaceae
Exons: 4
Source: RefSeq, a predicted model, not a curated record
ACCGCACGCUUGGCAUUAGUUCUUUCCAUGUUAUCAAAUUCCUCUCUCCUCUCUUAACUACCUUGCUGCCCUAGUCCCUACUGCCGGUUUUCGAAAAAAAGCUCUACUGCCGGUAAGUUAGAAUUAGUGCGCACGUUCCGUUCGAUUUAGUAAGAUGCGGCGGAUGCUCGGUGGGUGGCGAGGCGGAGUUGGAGGAAGGCGACGACGGACUGCUGCUGUUCGGAGGAAAAGAUCCAUAAGUGCGAAGAUGGAGUUCUUCCUGGAUCCAUUCAAUAGGCGAGUGUUCCUCAAUUGACAUUGCCCGACGAGGUUGUCAACGAGAGCCCGUCGGAUGUGUGUGCUGAUCCUUGUGCGUUUGAUGACCAGCCGGCGGAAUCUGAAUCUGGUCUCCCGCCCGUAGCUACCGCCAGGAAGGUCACGCCGCCGGGGCUGAUCUUGAAGACAAUGGAGUCCCAGCUACGUACACUACUUCAGAGCAGUUAACUAACUCACCUCGACCCUGAAGCUCCGCAGUGACGAAGAGAUUUCAGUUUGCAACUCUGGACGUUCAACCUCGCCGGCCCGCGUGACUCUGCGUUAGCAUUCCGGUCCAAAUACCAGUCAAUUUGCUUCUCAUCCAUCAGUCUCAGGUACAUAAUAUUUCCCCUAAAAAGGGUAUGCAAUCUUUAAUCAUGUGGCUUCCUGUUCCGAGCACACAAUAUCAAUUGUGGUCUCCUCAGAUGUAUAGAAACAGAACAUAGAAACUGAUUGCAUGCAAUCCAAUAUGAUCAUCAGAUAACUACACAAAAAGAACCAUCCAGUUGGAAGCACGGACUCCUUUAAAAAGUAUUAUGAAUGUCCCAGUGGUUAAUUCAGCAAUGUCAUGAAAAUGAAAACAACGCUCUACAUCUUUCAACUCUGAUCAUUUUCUUGAAGAUUGAUUGAACUUUAUUUACUUUGUAAAUGGCAUAUCUUUUGUUUUGUGUGUUCAAAUAGGAACAAUUUUACAGAGCUAAAUCCUUAGUUUGGUGAACAAAGAGAUGUAUUAAUGAUUUCUGCAUACCAUAAGCUUUUACGUGAUAAGGAUAAAUACUUGCAAAUGGCACCAAUUCAAAGAGAAGCUUAUUUAGAGGGGAAUUGUGAGUACAAACGAGCUAAACUACAAAACAAUGCAAGUACUAGCAAUGCACAGUCGUAACUAGGCAGAGAAAUAUGACUUGCAGUGAACAAAUACACAUGCUUAUGGAAUCUUCUCAGCUGAUAGAAGGUACUUUAUUGUGGUUUAUAAUAAAUAUAAUUUCAUUAUCACUAUGCAUGCUUUGGUAAUGGAAUUUAAUUUUUCUUCUUCUUUCAGAUUGUUGCAUGCACAGUUCAGUGGUCGAUCAACAAGGAUGUUCACAAUAAAUGAAGCAAGUGGCCACACUUGGUAGUUUUGAGAUAUCUGAAUCUGGUAAUCAAGACAUAUCUUAAUCAGACAAAUGCCUUAUUCUUCGGUCAAAUAUGUGUCACCUAGAUAAUGGAACUAUGGUCGGUGCAUCUGGAGUAUAUGCAUCUUCAAUCUGUCUUGAAGAUUAGGCUGCAGAUAAAGCAUUGAGAAAUAGCAGUGGACGUAAGCGACAAUGUGGCACUAACUGGUGCUCACACUUGCACCUGAACGAAGAGAAUCAUAUACUGACGGAGGUAUCUUGACAAUAUGGAGCAGGUAUCAUGACUAUAUGAGACAAGAAAGUCUCAUGGAGCAGGUUAUAGUAAUGCACAUGAUACAGCUGAUCAGGCAAGUUGUAAUAGACAAAACUCAAGAACAUAUCAGUUUUGAAUCUGAAAACACAAUGUAUAUGCCAACUGAUUGUUUGCUGCUACCCAAGAUAUGCUUGAAACUGCAGCGCAUCUUGGCCAUGUUCACUGCUGGGUUCCUUCCAGCUCACCAAGCCCAAACCACCCGCAUCCAGACGCCCCUCCGCCGACAAAAAGGGCCGCGGCCGCCGCGCUUCUGUUGCUUAGCAUGUGUCCCAGCAACCAACGUCCGGUGCGCUCUGUUUGCAUGCCGGAUUGUCCGCAAGAGAAGCAGAGUCUGCUUUUGUAUCCUGUUUCCUGCUGUUUCCGUUUGAGAUUAGGCUCCUGCUAGCUGUAGCUGCUCUUCUGUUGAUGUGCCCCUGGUCCGCUUGCUUCAUCUGUUCGUAUGGCCUGCACUGCCCCAUGUUCCCUGUGUUGCUGCUGUUGUUUAUGGAUAAUCAUCACUGUACUGUCAUGAACUGGAAUGUUUGAGGUCUGAAUAAUCCGGCAAGGAGAAAGGUGGUUCAUCUCAGAACAAUGCGUUUGUUGUUUGCCUCCAAGAUACCAAGCUAGACUUUGUUCAUUAUAGGCUUGUUGCUGAAAUUUUGGGGCCUGCUUUUGCUGAUAAUUUUGGCUUCCUUUCGGCGGACGGCACUAGAGGUGGGAUUCUUCUUGCUGCUUCCCAGGAUUUCUUCAAACUGUCACACUUUGCACACUAUCUCAGCCACCAUUUGUAUGUGUGCUAAUGAAUGUAAAUGGAGCAUUUCGGCCGUCUACGGACCUCAGUCUGAAACAGAUAAAAUUAUUUUCAUUGGUGAACUCAAGGGCCUGAAAAAUGCUGUCAGUGUUAGGUGACUUCAACCUGAUUUGCUGGGCUGCAGAUAAAGCAAUAGCAUAUGAUUAAUAGGCGCCUCAUCAACGCUUUCAGAGCUGCUCUGAACUUGAUGGAGGUCUCUGAAUUGCGGCUGCAUGGAAGGCGUUUCAUUUGGACUGGCACCUGUCAGCAGCAACCCGAAACCAAGAUCGAUCAUGUUUUUCACACCGCUGAGUGGGGUCUUCUAUUCCCCCAGUGCCUCCUCCAGGCCGUUACUUCUUCUGUCUCGGACCACUGUGCUAUGAUCCUGACGGGGCAGCUCAGCUGUGCAACCUUCAAGGGCUUCCGUUUUGAAUAGUAUUGGACGAGAAUUCACACCUUUCAGGACUCUGUUUUGGCUUCCUGGACCAAGCCAGUGUUCAUGUGCGAUGCUGCUCGUAUUCUCCACUUCAAGCUGUCAAGGACUCAAGGUUGGUCAAGGCUCUUCACAUCUGGAGCAGGGCUUGCGUUGAGGAUUACUGUCCGACCAGUCUGAUACACUCUGCAAAAAAAUUGUGCAACUUACUCGCCAACCGCCUUACUCCUUGCCUGCAUGACAUCAUCCCCAACUCCCAGAGCGCUUUCAGCAAGCGGAGCAUGAUUUAUGAUAAUAUCCUAUAUGUCAGAAAUGUUGUCCGGCGUCUCCACAAGACAAAAUGCCAUGCCCUUCUUCUCAAGCUUGAUAUUGCGGGUGAUUUCGAUUCGGAUUCUUGGGAGUUCCUUCUUGAGGUUAUGGAGAGACUUGGCUUCAUCGCUUGCUGCGUGACUUGUUGGCGCUGCUUUGGAAGUCUUCUUCUUUGAAGAUCUUGGCUAAUGGACAAGUUGGAAGGCGCUUUCUCCAUCGUCGAGGCCUGUUGGAAGACCCUCUUUCCCUGAUGCUUUUCACCAUUGCCAUUGUUCCUCUCCACUAGCUUUUUGCCGAAGCUGCUGCUUCACAUGUGCUGUCUGACCUCAACCUACCUCCAUCAAACUUGAGAGUGAGCCUAUAUGCAGACGACACAGCUCUAUUCAUGAAGCCCUCGGCCGAUGAUAUCACUACCACCAGCCAGCUCCCGCUGCUCCCCGGCCUUAGAGUCCAGAAAAGUGCAAUAAAUCCUAGGAGUAUUAGCUACACAGAUAUUGAUCUGCAUCAACGCCUACAGGAAUUCCCGGUCCCUAUCUGCAACUUCCCAUGCAAGACUUUGGGCUACCCCUACACUUCAAGAAGAUUUCCAGGGGUGACCUGCAGCCCAUCAUUGAUAAAAUGGCUUCAAAGCUGCAGCUUUGGUGAGGCAAGCUUCUCUAUGCAUCCGUUCGCUUUGUGCUGGUCAACGUCGUUCUCUCUGUCAUUCCAAUUUUCAUGCUAACUGUCUUCAAGCUGGGCAAAUGGGCGAUCAAGCAAAUUUAUAAACUGCGCCGAAACUUCCUGUGGCGGUCCAGUCCUGACUCCCAUGGCGGCCUGCCUCUGGUGAGCUGGAAAUCUGUUUGUAGGCUCAAGAACCUUGGGGGCUUGGGGAUUAUGGAUAUUCACAAGUUCAUCAGUGCUUUGCGGAUUCCUUUGAAGUGGUCGGAAUGAACAGAUCCGAACACGCCUUGGCAUGGCAGUGGCACUGAGCUUCCCAGUGACAAGGAUGACUCUUGUUCGACGCCUCCAACUCUGUUCAGCGGGGCAAUGGCAGGAAGCGAACUUCUGGAACUCCCAUUGGCUUUAUAGUCAGGUUCCUCGGCUUCUUGCUCCUGAUCUCUUCCAACUUCGCCCUCGGAAGAACAUCUCAGUGGCUGACGGUUUGAACAGUGGGAGAUGGAUGCGUGGCUUCCACAGAAUCGUCAACGCCAAUCAGCUUCGACAGUUAGCAAAUCUUCUUGCUCCUGAUCUUUUUCUUUGUUACAAGUUCUGUAACUUGAACUAUUUCCCUCCUAUGUAAUGCAUUGGCAGUACAACUGCUACUUUACCUAAAAAAAAGCUAUAAAUUCAUUGGACAAAAACUGUUCAAAUAAAAGCUUAA